Molecule: ribosomal RNA, 758 nt
Filed under: uncultured Citrobacter sp.
Lineage: Bacteria; Pseudomonadati; Pseudomonadota; Gammaproteobacteria; Enterobacterales; Enterobacteriaceae
Description: bacterial SSU rRNA
Rfam family: Bacterial small subunit ribosomal RNA
Source: RNAcentral
AGAGUUUGAUCCUGGCUCAGAUUGAACGCUGGCGGCAGGCCUAACACAUGCAAGUCGAACGGUAACAGGAAGCAACUUGCUGCUUUGCUGACGAGUGGCGGACGGGUGAGUAAUGUCUGGGAAACUGCCCGAUGGAGGGGGAUAACUACUGGAAACGGUAGCUAAUACCGCAUAAUGUCGCAAGACCAAAGAGGGGGACCUUCGGGCCUCUUGCCAUCGGAUGUGCCCAGAUGGGAUUAGCUAGUUGGUGAGGUAACGGCUCACCAAGGCGACGAUCCCUAGCUGGUCUGAGAGGAUGACCAGCCACACUGGAACUGAGACACGGUCCAGACUCCUACGGGAGGCAGCAGUGGGGAAUAUUGCACAAUGGGCGCAAGCCUGAUGCAGCCAUGCCGCGUGUAUGAAGAAGGCCUUCGGGUUGUAAAGUACUUUCAGCGGGGAGGAAGGGGUUAAGGUUAAUAACCUUAGCCAUUGACGUUACCCGCAGAAGAAGCACCGGCUAACUCCGUGCCAGCAGCCGCGGUAAUACGGAGGGUGCAAGCGUUAAUCGGAAUUACUGGGCGUAAAGCGCACGCAGGCGGUCUGUCAAGUCGGAUGUGAAAUCCCCGGGCUCAACCUGGGAACUGCAUUCGAAACUGGCAGGCUUGAGUCUCGUAGAGGGGGGGUAGAAUUCCAGGUGUAGCGGUGAAAAUGCGUAGAGAUCUGGAGGAAUACCGGGUGGCGAAAGGCGGCCCCCCUGGAACGAAAGACUGACGCUC